UAUCUGAUCACCCUUCCUCCCUGGUGUCCACUGCUGGUUAUCAUCUCAGAAAAGUAUGCAAGCGGAUACACACUUCCUAAAUGUUAGUCUCACUUGCCCUCCAUCUCAACCCCAGCCAGCUUGAAGAUUAGAACACAGGCAGCAAAAAGCUGCAAUGAAAACUCAGACUGGCUGAACAAGUUUUUACUGAGAAAAGAAGGGAAGGGCUGAGAGCGCCAUGAUGGGAGAAGAAAGGUGCUAUACACAAUCUGGGGAGAUGAGCUUCCAAGUUUCAAGUUUUCCACAUCGCUUUAAAAUGCUAAAAAACAACCAGGCACAUUAACCCCCAACUCAGCAAAACAUUUUCUUUUUCUGGAAUCAGCAUCUAAGCUAGAAGCGGGCUCGAGGGCCUACUAACUCUAACUUAGUUCCACGCCUCUGCCUGGCCUCUCAGGACUCCUGGCAGGUGGGUACCAUGUGGAGUGGUGCAUGCUCAGUGGCUGGUCACUGAGCAGAAGUCAAGGAGGGACUGGCUGUUUCAGGGGAUUCAUUCUGUGGUUGGUGCUGCUGGCUGGAGGCCUGUGGGAAGCAGAGCUACCCUCUUCCUGGCAGCUGAGAAGCAAAUGCCCCCUGGGAAGGCAUUUCCCUAAUGGCUUAACUUUCUUUCACAAGGUUCCUCCUCCUAAAGGUUCUGCUAUCACCCACUAGUACCAUUAGCUGGGACCCAAACUUUAACCUACAAACUUCGGGACAGGGGUGGGGUGGGGUGUGUAAGAUUCAUAACUAUAACAAGAAGCAGCAUCAGGGUGACACUCGUGUCACAAGAGCCUGAGGGUCUGUGUACCACAGCAGGAACACGCUCUACAUACCAGUUACACUCAGGUCAGAGAGCUCUGCAAUCAGAACAGAUAACAAGAGGCUACCCCAAGCCACAGCUAGAUCCCAGCAGGACACAGAACACAGCCAACAAAGCUAAUCAGAGCAGAGCGGACGAAAAAGAAUCUGCUCUGUUCUGCUUGUUUUGAAGCUGGAAUCUACACAUAGAGGUGUGGUAGGAUGCUUCUCCCUAGGGUAGCAGCCCAGCCUCCAGUUCCACCCCUCCCAGCAGUGCAAGGACAGGAACCCUAAGCCAGGAAGCUUUAGAUGUUGCUGUGGAAAGAAAGUGAGAGCACAGGAAAUGUGAAGCUUACAUGGUGCUUCACAUGAGAAUCCUGGGCAUUUUUUAUUAGUAGGAUCUGGUCCUCAAAGUACAUCUUCUAGAAUCUUCUAAGCAGAAAUCACAUGAUGUGAUGAUGUGCGUUUUCAACGUUUGCUCACAACAUUAAUGUGCUGUGAGUGCUCCUUUGUAGAAGCCAAGUUCAGUCUCCAGAUUUCUAUGACCCUCCCACAUUAACAGAACAGUGUUGGUGUAGUGACACUCACCUAUGACCCCCUACACUAAGCAUGCUGAAGCAGGAGGACUGUGAGUUCAAGGCCAGCCUGGGCUACACAGGGAUAGCUUAUCUAAAAACCAAAAACGAGACGGGUACUAUUUGGUACAAAAAUUAGAGGGGGAAAGGAUUAAAACUUUGAGAGAAAACUGCCUCUCCCCAGUUUUCAAGAGUGUGUUCCAUGGACCAGGAAUUAGCAUCUGUACUUGUUCUGCCUAGAUGCUCAAACACCUGGCCAGCAGCUGGCUGGGGCCCAGCAGGUUUUCUGCAUCCUCCAGCUGACUCAGUUGCAGCCCAAACCUGGUCCAUAGCUACAGCACACCAACUAAACAUGACCAAAGUGACAGAGGGCCACUGUGGUACUAUCAGGAAACCAAAUAUGUUUUGAGGUUCUGUCAAGGACCUCCUGAAUCUAACUGGUUGGUGAUAUUAUUUCCUGCCUUACUUAGCCUUCCUAGUUCCUUUGCCUCUCCAUAGAAUUUCCCCUCCUCCUCCUCCUCCUCUUCUUCCUCCUCCUCCUCUUCUUUUUUUCUUUCUUUUUUCUUUUUUUGGUAUUGUCUUACUGAGCUAGGGUCUCACUAUGUAUCUCUGAAACUUGCUAUAGAAACCAAGCUGGCCCUGAACUCAAGACAUCUGUCUGAGUGCUGGAUUAAAGGCAUGCAUUUCCAUGCUGGGCUUCUCUAUGGAUUUUAGGACAACCCUGUUUAUAGCUGUGAAAAGAUCUUAGAAGAUUCAAACAUACAGACUUAGCUGCCUUCACUUAUUCUCAUACCCCAAGCAUCCUCAUAUAUAUAAUUCACAUUUAAGGAACUUUCUCACAUUUAAGGCUAGGCAGUCUGGGCAUGUUCUUCACUUAUAACAGAUCUUAGCUUGAACAGUCAGUCACAGCUCAAGGAUUUAGAAGCCAUCUCUGAUCUAAAGGCUCUGGGGAUUUCUGUUGAAACAAAAGGACCAUCUUUGCCACUGGCACAGGCUUUUAGGACUAUAUUAAAAGCAAUAGGGGAGAAAUCUCUAUAGGAAAAAAGCAAAUGAACAGUUUUCCAAACUCUGUACUGUGAUCUAGGUUCAAUAAAGGAGGGGCCCUGGAGUAGGCAGAGAGAAUCUUGAGCUAAACACUUUGGAGCACUGCAAACCAGGCACUGGAAGUCUAAGGAAUCUCACAGAAUACAUCUGCUGGGAUCAAAGCAGGCCAACAGCUCAUCAGCCUAGCUAAGUUAUAAUCAGCCCUGUACUAGUACAAAAGGGCUAGAUGCCAGAUUCCAGCAUGUCUGCCACUGCUGACCCUGGGGGGUGAGUAUUACCCUUUCCUGGGCCUUGGUUUCCUCACUGGACUAUACACUCUGAGUUCCUUUCUGGUCUGCUCCAAACAACUGCAGGAAGGUCUUCCUAGUUCUACCACCUUGUCCUGCCUAUUCCUGUGCAAAGACAGACACCUAAGGGCAGGUGUAUACCUAGAUGCAGAUGCAAAAUGGUUCCAGCAUGCUGUUCAUGCCAGACGAUCAACAUGAUGGGGGAAUGUCUUUCUGUAUGCUACAAAUAUGUGUUGUUCUGAUUGGUUGAUAAAUAAAGCUGUUUGGCCUAUGGCAAGACAACUUAAAGGCAGGUGGGAAAUUCAAAGAGAGAGACAAGAAGGAGGAGGGAGGAGACACCAGCAAGCCACCCAAGGAGCAACAUGUAAUGGAACACAGGUAAAGCCAAAGAACAUGUGGCGAUACACAGAUUAAUGGUUAUGGGCUAAUUUAAGAUAUAAAAGCUAGCUAGCAAGAAGCUUGAGCCAUAGGCCAUUGCCAUGCAGUUAUAAUUAAUAUAAAUCUCUGUAUGUUUACUUGGGAGAUGCGAGUGGGAGAGAUUUGUCCCAGCCACCAGCAGGCCGGGGCACAGGAAAACUUCCAGCUAUACAUAACCAACCCAGAAGGUACCCUUUACACUUCUUGGUCACCUGAGCUCUGGCUCCCAUAUUUGACCUUGUGGGUUCUGUGAGUUCUUCUAAGCUUGUUUCCUAUGGAAUGCAAUGCUUUCUACUAUUUAAUGAGUGUUACUAUCUAGACUCCCUGCCUGUUUAGUGUCUUUUUCUGCUUCAGGGAUAAAAUACUCUGACAAAAGCAACUUAAGGAAGAAAGAGUUUAUUCUGGCUUAUAGUUCAAGGGUAGCCAGUCUUAGUAGGGAAGUCAUGGCAGCAGGAGCUUAAGUCAUGCUUCACUUUGGAUCCAGUCAGGAAGCAGACAGUGAUAAAUACUUCCCAAUGCUCAGCUGGCUUCCUCCAUUUUACACAGUCAAGAUGGGUCUACCCACAUCAAUAAGUACAAUCAAGAUAAGCCCCCACAGGCUUGCCCAGAGGCCCCUCUCCCAGGUGAUUCUUGAUUCUGUGAGGUUGACAGUUAAUAUUAACCAGCAGCACACUGUGCCUGCCACCCUUCCACACGCAGCACAGCUUUGCUCUCACCCAGGGUUCACCACCCUCUGUUAAUCUCACUCUCUUCACCUACCUCUUCACCCAUCUUUAAAGUUCAGACUGUUCUCCUGCCCAAGUGAUCACCACAGAGCAGAUGCACAGCAGGACCCGCACAGCUCCACACCCACAAGUUGAACACAAUGUCACCCACCUGACCCUCUGCAGGAGAAAUUGGUCCUUGCAAACAGAUGUGAGAGGGUCAGAGACAGGCAGGGUACACUGGUCCUCUGAUGUAACCACAGUGGCCAAGCAAUAGCUUCCUCCCUGCAAUCUGAACUACUGCUCUUCAGAAGGUCCCAUGCUUACUACCAGACAUCCAAGCCUGGAGUCAGAGCACAACGGUGCCUUGCUGGGUCUCUCUCCUCUUAGCUUCAUGGACCCCACAGCCCAGAGUCUCCAUACAAGCCUCUCUGCUCAACAGCUCCUACAGACAGGGUUCCAGGCUUCACCUGGCCAAACUUUACCACCUGCAAGACACUGCUCCUCCACUUGACUUUCUUGUUUCGAGAGUGUAUGUAGGGUUUGCUAUGGGCAUACCUAUGUGGAGAUUCUGCUGCUGGAGGAGGGGAGGCUGCACACCCUCACUUUCUCCACAGCAUCGUCUAGCUGUUUAGAAGGGCAGACCAAUGAGGUGGGUCCCAUGUCCACCCACUUCACUGAGCCCCUUCUCAGAUGCCUGCAAGUUCCAAUUCUUCCCACCACUGGAAUCUUGCUUUGCUAUUCUCAAGUGCAUUGUUUCCGAUGUUUCUACUCUACUUCCUGGGUUCCCCCUCACACACACAUAUACCCUGAGGCUUCCCUGGAAAGCCUGGUUCUGGUCUGAGUGUGCUUAUUGGAACCUUGAAGCACAGCAAGCUGCCAGGGCAUGGCAAUCUCACUCAUAAUGCCAGAUACUGCAGACAGAACCCUUCUGACCUACAGCUUCCAGCACCACACCACCAUGUCUGAUUUCUUUCCAGCCAGCAAUGUACUUGUGUGCAACCUCCACCUCCAGAAUCCUCCAGGUCUGGUUUAGCCCGUUAUCUGAGGUCUUAGGGCUGGACCUGCCAUUCUGGCAGCUUGGAGUCCUCAGCUCUGAAGUUGCCUAAUUUUUUUGUUUGUUUGUUUGUUUUCUCUUUCCUAACUUCUCCACCCUUUCUGAACUUCUUAGCUCAUCUACAGUGAUGUUGUAUUUCCAAUGUUCACUUCUGGUUCUUGCAAAGGGGUUUCUGGGCAAAAGAGAGGUGUGCAGUCUAGUCCAUAAAAAUAGAAACUGAGGCAGUGUGUUUAACUGUUAUGAUGGCAGAAUUGUGGCAGCCUGUGAGGGCAGAGUUCUAGAAGCAUCUUGCUUAACAUACUGCACUAAGCUAAGCAGCACUGAGAUCCAUCACAGGAAAGAGAAACUUCCAUAACUAUUUAGCAUGUGUUCAUCAAACUUAAAAACUGCCAAAGACCUGCAGAGAGAACUGGACACAGGGAAUAUGCUUCUCAAAGGCAGCCUCUUAGCUGGAUGUAGUGGUUCUGCACACUUCUGCAGCCCAGGCAUUCAUGUUUCAAACAACAGAACAAUCAAGGCAGUCUCUUGACACAGUAGGUAUGGUCCCUUCUCCCCAGUCAGAAGGCAGUGAAAGUCCAAUCGUGUCACCCUUGCACACUCCAGCACUGCUAAGGACUCAGGACACACUUGGCUUCAGUACUGUCCCUCAAGCCAUGUCAUUCAUUCAAGGGAUCCUGUGAUACUGGCACUUUCUCAGCCCUCAGAACUAUGAAUGAAGGCCUGGACCACAGUAGACAGAAAAAUAUGCCAAACAGAGCUUGGACCAGGGGGUAUCUUGGCAGAAGGAAGUGGGGUCACGGGGUCUUUAAGCACCCCAGGUCUAGUUUACACAAUUUACCAACAAGGCUCACAAGAUCCCAUGGGGCUCAGUGCCUAUCCCCACCCCAUGUGACAGAGGUUGGAAGAGGAUGAGGGACUCAGCAAGGCAUCCACCUGUACAGGUUUCCUAGGGAUUUAGUUAGGUCCCCUUCCCAGACUCCAUGUCACCUUUUGCUGUUUCCUCUCCCAGAACUAUGUGGUCUCAAAACACUGGCUGUGAUAUGGCUGUCACUAUGAAUUGUAUCAGGAGGUGAGUGGGUAGGCCUGAAAGGUGACUGAGUCACAAGAUGCUGUCCCCUCUCAUGGGCCUAUAUAGUCAUGGCCCUCCCUACCCCCCGCCCUAUUAGUGAUGUUCUCCCACAUGAUACUGCAAGACAGUCCAUGCCUGAAAACUAGGCCCCAUCGCCCAGCCUCCUGGGCCCGAAAGGUAACCCCAGGAUACCCAGCCUAUGGGGUUCCUAGUGCCCUCUAACCCAGGUAGGGACAGCCUCCAUAUGGUCUUGCUCUUAAUAAAUUACCUAGUCUGGGGAAUUCUGUCAUUUCACCAGCAAACAGACUUAAGACAGAAAUCUUCCCCGCAUCUGUCAAAUCCUACCUACUCUUUACAAGAUCUAUCCUAACAUUGCUCUCUCUGCAAGUCCACUUAGUCCACGACUGCCACACACUGAAAGGAUGCCUCCCCACCUCCCCCAGAAACCAUUCCCACUGUACCUCUUCUGGCAGCAUCUACGGACACCCAGAGCUCACACACUGAAACAAAAGGCUUUGCCUGGAGGUCACCGGUGUGACCUUCUCUUUCCUACCACCGUGUAAGUCCUGGGGAAAGUGCUGGCUUUUUCACCCCCUAGGGAAGUGGUUCUCAACUAAUGCUGUGACCCCUCAUGUUGUGGUGACCCCCAACCAUAAAAUUAUUGUUGCCACUUCAUAACUGUAAUUUUGCUACUGUUAUAAAUCAUAAUAUAAAUAUCUGAAAUGCAAGAUAAAAGGGUCGAAACCCACAGGUUGAGAAUCGCUUCUAUGGGCUCUGGAAUGGGAGAACCAUCCUUGGGUCCAGCAAACAGCUCCAUAGGACACUCUCUCUGUUGCCUACAUCCCCCUCCAUCAAUAUCAAGUCCCUCCCACCCCAGGUGCUUUUCUUCAGCGACCAGUCUCCUGCUUUGCUUCCCUCUUUGGACACCCCAUGCCAUCUGUAUGCCUGUAUCUCUGUCCACAUGCAGUGGCCCUGCAGUGUCUCCUUGGCCGUCCCAGCUCCCCUAGAUUCGGCACAUUGUAGAAAGCCACCUCUAAGCCAGGAUUCUGGUGCAGCUCUUGCCCCUCCCUAGGUCUGGACCCACCUCUGAAGCUACGUAAUACCUGGUACCAGGCACAACACUCUCUGCCAAUAUCCCCACAAAAAGUGUUUUACCAUUCUCCAUUCCCUGUACUUCAGUACCAUCUUACCUGACCAGGCCUGGUUUAAAGAGCAGCAAGAGAUGAAAGUUCCACUGACCUCUAAAAUAGAUCCUUAAGUCAUUCUUGUAAAUGCUGCUAUUAAAUUUUAAGGCCUAUGACGGGAUGGCCCCAGUCACCUCCAACUCACAGGAAUCAGCUUCUCUUUAAGCAUCAGCAAACUGACCCCGCCUCUUCUCUGUACCCUCCUGCCUCCUUCCCUGGAGAUCCUAAACCGUCCAUUACACACUGCUGCCUGCAAUUGCUCUCCUGACGCCCCUGUUGUAACUUCUCGCAACACAAGUAUGUCUAUUCAUUGAAUCAGACAUGAUUUCACAGGACCACAGGCUGCGCUCAUUUCUUCUGAGUGAGCUGUGGCAGGCUUCACUGAACUGCCACCGAGCACCAAAAGAAAGGUCUAGUUUUGAGAAGCUGGUUCAAGGAAGUACACAAGCAUAUUAUGGUUCCCUAUUACUUCACCUGCUGAGGAUAAAUGACCACUAUGGCUCUUCUUCUGGGAGACCAGAACAGAGAGUCACAUGGGUGAGAUGGAGCAGGAGGCUGGGAACAGCACAGCCUCAUGCCUACCCUUCUGAAUUAGGAAACAAAAUUGCCAACUGGGGAGGGCUUCAAGCUGCUGGAGGGUGGGCACCCACAGUGACUCCAUAUUCCCCACACCCAUGGAAGAAGACACCCAUUCUCCAGGGCCAUAACUACAGCAAGCCAAAGGAUGGAUGGAUCAGUGUGGUGUCUUGCUCUGGGCAAGGGGAGACCUGCCCUAGAGUCAGCCAGGUCCCAUCCAUGCCAUGGCCUCUCUGAAGGGCAGCUAAGGAUGCCUAGAUAUGGGCCAGCUGGUGCCUCCAGGACAGUAGCUAUGUACUUUUUAGUGACACCCCUCAUGGCCAGAUCAUCUCUCCUCAGUGUUUCCUUCUAUUUUGGGUGUAGUCUACUGGCCUGAACUCUUGUGAUUCCCUGGUUCCCCAAGACAGCUACAGGUUCAGCUCUAAGGACAGGGGCCUUGUGCCAUCCCUGAUCAAAGCUCUCUGUGAGCAUCAUCCUGCUGCUUUUCCACCUUGGUCCAUUGGCCUUUCCCAGCUUGAGAUCCAACUAUGUUCCUACCCAGGCCUCCGUACACUAGCCGUAUGUCUGUCUGCGCCCACUCUACUCUCCAUCAAGAGACUAGACUCCCUCAGAGUACUGGUCUCCCACUCAGCCGUCCCUUCCUAGACAGAUGGUUCUUGUCCCAGCUCUGAGUGUGCCAACCCCUGCACACCCAGCAGCCUUCCUCCUUCAUGUCCUUACCACGCCUGCCUAACCAUCAUUACUUAUGGUCUAUACUGCCUCCUGCACCUCUUGCAUUGUUCCCUGGGUAUAUGAAACAUUUACCACAGAAGUGGCUUGGAAAAUGAAUCUGGGUAAGGUACUCUGAAGAAGUGUCAGCCUGCACAUGAGAAACUGAAUCUGGACAGCAUUUAAGCCACUGCUGGUAACCAGUUUUAAGCUCCAUUACACCUGCAAGAUGCAUCAGUCUCUUCCCCACCUUCUGCACAGAUAACCAUACAGAAAAAAAAAGACAGGAGAACCUGGGAACAGUGGUAAUUCUCAAAGGUAAUCACUCUAAGACAGCCUUGUAAUUGUAGCUGAUUUUGUUUUUAGACAAAGUCUCACUAUGUAGUCCAGGGUUCCCUAGAUCUCAAGACCCUCCUGCUUCAGACUCCUGAGUGCUGGGAUUACAGCAUUUGCCAACAGCCUAGCUGUGGUUGAUGUUUUAAUUUACCCAUUUGUCUUCUGGAGAAAUAAACUACUCUGUCUGCUCCCCAAAGAGAACAAUUAGUAUAUUCUUUGCCGACAUUUGUGUAAAAGCAUGAAUCAUAGAAGUAAAGGGGGGGGGAGGAGAAAACUUAGCACUUUUCCCUUUAAUAAUCUGAUGUAUAGGUUUUAUUUCAGAGCAAGGCAGUGACUUCAGGGAAGUCUGAGGAAGCAGCUGCAGCCAGGUAAGAUGCGGAAAGCCGAUAGGUUUGAAGCAAAAUAUGGUCGGGGUGUAUAGGGGAUAAUGGCUCAGCAACUACAUCACUGCACUCUCCAGGGAGUACUGUCCCUGCCACCUCUGAGAGGUUCCCACAGAGCCAGAGACUUCUUCAGGUUUUACCCUUAAAAUCGCCUUCAGGACCCCAGUGGGGAUCUGCACAAGCACCUCCAUUUGAGGGUUCUGACCGGCUCCAGCAUAUGUGUUUUUGAAAGAAGCGUUGGCAGCUUUAAAUUCAGGCACAGGUCCACGUGUCUUCAGCUCACACACUUGAUUCUACCAUUUUAAUCCACCUCGGAGGAGGGGGAUGCUUGUGAGCAUGUGUGAAGAGGCCCUCCACCCACUGCAAGAAGGGCUUAGCUGGACAAGUACGCACGAGCUACCCACCACGGGCUGGUGUCCUACCUCUGCCCUCUCAAAACUCACCUCGGGAGCACUCAGUCUCUACCUGGCCCUGGACCCCUCCUGUCCACCCUCUUCCCAGAUAGUAAGCGGGCACGUCUCCAGCCUCUCUUUCCAAUGUGGACCCUGGGCCACCAAAAGGUAGUAAAGCGUCUGGGCCUGGAAGCCAUGGCGCAGCCUCGGACUUUCUUAAACACCAAAGGGGCUGGAGACCAAGGCCCCUCCCUGGGCUGCGCCCGAAAACCGGAGAGAGAAAGAUCUCUGCCUUUGUCUCUCUUUUGUGGUGCUGGAUAUCAAGCUCACAUCUCAUGGAUACCAGAUCCUGCUGAUUCCAGGUGGUAAGGUCUGGUUUGGUUCUAGCUGGAGAAGAGACUGAGAGGAGCAAAUAAGUAAUCAUUCCAGAAAUGACUUACCAAGCUCUCAAGACUCACUAAGCAUACGGCUUCUACCUUCCUGUAUCAACAGGACAAAGGGCUACUGUGGUCCCAAAGAAGAGGAGUCAAAUCCCAUUACAGAUGGUUGUGAGCCACCAUGUUGCUGGGAAUUGAACUCAGGACCUCUGGAAGAGCAGUCAAGCUCUUGACUGCUGAGCCAUCUCUCCAGCACGUAGUGAGCCUUUUCUAUCCCAAAUGAAGAACCUGCCGAUAGUGAUGACCCUGUUCAAAUUCUGCUUGUGGUCUACUUCCCAGCAAAUGGAUCCAUGCUCAGACCCGGGACAGGUGCUUUAGACAGUGAAUUGGUCUUCAGGCUGUGGUGAAUGGCCAUCAGUCUGUGAUCACCUCUUGCCUCCAGGCAGAGCCCACCAGUUCCAGGAAGAACAUCUAUGGACCCCUGACAUUGCACAAGUGAGGGACAAAAGCAGGUGCAGUCUCAUCUCAUUCUCAGAAGAGCACCAAGCACUGGCUGCCAUGAUGGUGCUCACAGGGGCUCUUAAAUUUAGCACAAGAACCUAAGACCCCUGAAGGGUCUCUGAGAGGUGCUGGACAAACAGUGAAAGCCAUGGAGGAGCUAUCCGGGGUGCUAAUUGGACUUGAGCUACUUCUUGGGGGAUGCUUACUAACAUCUCCAGAGACACUCAUGGUAACACUCAGCAAACACUGUUCUGAACCAGGUUCUUCCCUGCUGUGAGUGAAGAAUGGCAAAGGUCAGGAAGGACUGUAACACCCUUAAAGCACUGGGAUGGGAUAGAGAUAUGAUACUUUGUCAGUUGUGUACGUGUGACUAUUUUUUUCCUUUCUUUCCUGUGUAUGCAUACACGUAUAUAUAAGUAUUUACAUGUUGGGGGAUAUUAUUUUAAUGUGUAUUGCUGUGGAUAUCGCUUUAUAUAAAUAAAGCACUGAUUGGCCAGUGACCAGGCAGGAAGUAUAGGCGGGACAAGGAGAGAGGAGAAUUGAGGAAAGAGGAAGGAAAGAGAGUCCGGCUGGAGCCACCGCCAAGACAAGGAAGAUGUAAAGUACUGGUAAGCCACGAGCCACGUGGCUAAGUAAAGAUUAAUAGAAAUGGGCUGAAUAUAAGAGUGAGAGCUAGACAAUGAUAGACCUGAGCUAAUGGCCAAGCAGUUUAAAUAAUGUAAGAGUCUGUGUGUUUAUUUUAUAAGUGGGCUCCGGGACUGGCGGGACUUGGUGGUGGGAGCUGGAGAAAAAUUCUCCAGCUACAAAUGGCGCCCAAUGGCUCAAGUUUCCACCUUACACCUAACAAUAUUUAAUAACCAAUUCUAAACAGAGCCAAAACCAGGUUCCUGCUUCAUGUCUCAUAUGGGCAGCUAGACGCCACAAAACGCGGGUUUGAGCUACUGGCAGGUUCCUGGCGUGUGCACUUGACCUACAGUAUGGCGGGAAUGAGACCUGUGCCAGCAGCACAUUACGCUGUGUGGUAGAUUUAGUCUUUACUAAUAGAGAGAGAGAGAGAGAGAGAGAGAGAGAGAGAGAGAGAGAGAGAGGUUUCUGGGCUACACGCUGCUUUGAUAAAAGCGUAGACCCACUAUUUCUGAGACGUGAUGGCUCCCAGAGCUGGCGGAACCGCCAUGUUGGGAAGCUAAAGUGGGCGGAGCCAACAGCCACAGCGCUGUAGGCUUCAAAAAGAGAUAAAAAGGAAUAUAUACAGUUAUAUAAACAAAUAGUUUUUAAAAGUAAAGUCUUUAAAGAAACAAUAAAGGUAAUAAGCCACGUAAAGAUGGCUAUCACACAGAGAAUCUGGAUUAUGUUGUCUUUGAUAUUAGUAACUGAAGAAAAACAUUUGAUUGUAAAAGCUGUUCAGUUAUGCCAAAAUGUAAAUUUUAAAGGUACCUUGACUUCAAAAUUUGGAUAUAAGGAUAUGUUGCUUUGGAAAAGAGUCUCUGCUUUUGUUUCCACAGAAAGUCAGAGGCUAUGGAUUUGUUCCAGAUUAAGAUACAUCAGGUUUGACCAGCCAAGACCCCCUGAAAGGUCUCCAGUGACACCAUGGCCCAGAUGAUCCAACAUCCGGAACGGUUUCAGGCAACUGGCUCAGAUGAUACACCCUCAUGGACUACUCCAUAAUCCUAAAAUUUUCUUUGUGUCCCCAUAGAUACAGCGCCCCCCUCCAGCAGGAAGUAGUAAGAGAAGCUACGCCCAAAUCCCCAAAUAUAUCAAGCUGGCUUUAGAGAUGGAAUUGGCUCACUCCCCCUCUAAACCCAGACAUAUUACUUAAAAAAAAAAAAUGGUUAAGAGAUUCUUGUGUCCCAAAUCAGAAGAGCCCUCUGGUGUGGGACAGAGAAAAACCAAUAUUUUUAUUUAAAACAGGUUGAUUAUAAAUACAAUCUCUUUCUAAAGAAAAAAAGGGGAUAGUUUAGAUAUGAUAGGAUAAAAGGAUAGAUUAAUGAACCUAUUUUUAAAGAGUAACAACUUGUUUAAAAUGCUUUACAUUGCUAUAGAUUUGAGUUUAUUGAUACAAAUUUAAACUUAAUUUUGUUAUACUGUAUAUAUAUUUCUAUUCUUGUGUGAGGUAUUAUGUUUAUGUAACUCAUUUAAAAUUGUAAUGGAUAAUUAAAAAAUAGAUUAAUAAUUAUUCAUCUAUGAUAAUCAUAUUUGUAGCCAUGUUAGUUAAGUCUUCUAGGUAUACAUAGAUAUAUUUCAGAUAGGUAGUCUUCAAACACUUCAAAGACCUACAGAAUAUGGCAUUUAAAAUGUUUUAAAAAUUUAGACUUUCUGGACAGUGAGACAUGUCUGCUCCUGACAGCACCAAUUUACUUCAGAGAAGAGUAUGGGCAUCAAAGACACUCCAUAUGGAGUUUAUCUUCACCUUGACAAAAAUAGCCAUUUGGACAAGAAACUGUUCUUGCCUGGACUUCUUGAUCAACUUGACAUACAGGACCCAUAGAAAGGUAACCACUGAACUUUGCUUGACAAAAUGGUCCUUCAGGUUCCUGAUUUACAGAGAAAACUACAAGACAUUCUACAGGACACAAAAAAAAGUGAAUGAGAGACUCUAGGCCUGCGGGCUGAAGACUAAUGCCCCAACUUUACAAGAAAACUUUGAAUAACUGUCCAGGCUGUCAGCUGUCUCUGUCUACCCUACAAGACUCCUGAAAGUUGCUUGCAUCCUUUUCCCAUUUCUCAGGUAGUAUUAUAUCCUUCUGAGGUCUUUGAUGUGGUUAAAGACUAGAUACUUACAAUUUUCCUUAGUUAUGAUAAAAGAUAAGUUAGAUAUAAAACCUUAAACUCACAAAUAUAAGAUAGAUAUCUUCUUUUAUAUUAUAACUAUAAUUCUUACUCGAUAAUUAUUUUGUUAUAUGUAAUAUUACUAUGUUGAAGUUAAAACCUUCCUUUUUGAAAAAGAAAAAAAGGGGAAGUGCUGUGGAUAUCGCUUUAUAUAAAUAAAGCACUGAUUGGCCAGUGACCAGGCAGGAAGUAUAGGCGGGACAAGGAGAGAGGAGAAUUGAGGAAAGAGGGAGGAAAGAGAGUCCGGCUGGAGCCACCGCCAAGACAAGGAAGAUGUAAAGUACCGGUAAGCCACGAGCCACGUGGCAAAGUAAAGAUUAAUAGAAAUGGGCUGAAUAUAAGAGUGAGAGCUAGACAAUGAUAGACCUGAGCUAAUGGCCAAGCAGUUUAAAUAAUGUAAGAGUCUGUGUGUUUAUUUUAUAAGUGGGCUCCGGGACUGGCGGGACUUGGUGGUGGGAGCUGGAGAAAAAUUCUCCAGCUACAGUGUAUUACUUUCAUUUAUGUUGCAUUUAACUCUGUGAAGCUGUGUUACUGUGUCUGUCUAAAACACCUGAUGGUCUAAUAAAGAACUGAACAGCCAAUGGCGAGGCAAGAGAAAGGAUAGGUGGGGCUGGCAGGCAGAGAGAAGUAGGAGAAAUUUGGAAGAAAGGAAAAUCAAGGAAUACAAGAGGAAGGAGGAGGACUAGAGGGGCCAGUCACCCAGCCACCCAGCUACACAGCCAGACAUGGAGUAAGAAGGAAAGACAAGGUAUACAGGAAUAGAGAAAUACAAAAGCCCUGAGGCCAAAGAUAGACAGGAUAAUUUAAGUUCAGAAAAGCUGGCUAGAAAUAAACCAAGCUAAGAUCGGUCAUUUAUAAGUAAUAAUAAGCCUCUGUGUGAGUGAUUUAUUUGGGAGCUGGGUGGUGGGUCCCCCAAGAGAGCAAAAACAAACAACAUUUACAUGUGUGUGUGAACAUGGACAUGUCUGUGCAUAUGGAAGCCUGUGGCUGUCAGCAGGUAUAAUCCUCAAUCACUCUACACCUUAUUCACUGAGGUAGGAUUUCUCCAUUGAACAUGAAGCUCACCAAUACAGCUAGUCCAGCCAGCCAGCUUGCUCCAGGAUCCCCUGGUCUCAGGCUUCUGAGGCUAGAAUUAGGGUCAGACUACCAUGCCCACCUGGCAUUGACUUUGGGUUCUAGGGAUCCAAAUUCCAAUCUCCAUACUGGCACAAGUGCUUUAACCACUAAGCUAUGAGGGUUCAACUUCUGGGCCAUAAAUACCCAGGUACUCAGUCAAACACCAUUCUGGGUAUUUCUAUGAUGGUGGUUUGAGAUGAGUUCAAUUUUCAGGACAGAUAUUUUUUUUGUGUGUGUGUUAACCACAUUGGCCUCAGACUCAUUAUGUAGUGGAGAAUGACCUUGAAUUUCAAAUCCUCUGGCCUCUACCUCCUGAGUGCUGGUAUUACAGGCACGUGCCACCAUGCCUGGUGUAUAUGGUUUAGAAAUUGAAUCCAGGACUUCAUGCAUGCUGCAUGCUAGGCAAGCACUCUUCCAACUAAGCUAUAGUCCAAGAGAUCAACAUUUAAACGGACAGACUGAGUAAAGUAGAUGGCCAUCCCUAAUAGAGUGAGUGGGCUUUAUCCCAUCAGUUGAAGGUCCAAGUAGAAAAAUGAGCCACCUUUAAAUGAAAAAGAAUUCCUCCUUCCAGAUACAUCAGCCAGGCCAUGGUCUUUUUCUGCUUUUAAAAUCAAACAGAAACACUGGUCCUCCUGGGUUCGAGCUCUGAGCCUCUGGUCAGUCUGGACUGAGGCCAAACCAUCAACUCUCCUGGUUUUCAAAGCUUCAGACAUGGGCUAGAAUCAUACCAUGUAUGUAUCAGUCACAUCUGUGGUGAUAUUUUGUUUGUGCUCUCACAAAUAAAGCUUGCCUGGAGAUUGGAGUGUGGAGCUAGCCACUAGAGCCCAGGCAGUAGUGGCACACACCUUUAAUCCCAGCACUUGGGAGGAGGAACCAGGAAGUGAUAUGGCUGGGUGGAGACAGGAAGUAAAAGUAGGGUAGAAACAGGAGCCUGGCCCUUUCAGGCUGAGGAUUUGGUAGAGGUAAAAAGUCUCUCUAGUGGCUGACUCCUUUACUGAUCUUUCAGCAUUUACCCUAAUAUCUGGCUCCAGGUUUUUAUUAUUAAGACCAAUUAGGAUUCGUGCAACAAUGUUAUAACAUAUCUUAUAAAUCUCUCUCACCCCCAUGCCGAAGUGCUCAAUUUCUCUAGAGAGCCCUGCCAUGGGUAUAGUACUUAAUGAAACUGAACAAUUUCAUUUUAGAAUGUGAUUGGAUAUGAUAACAUAGGCCCCCCUUUUUUUAAUGUGUGUUCUGAAAAUACAAUACUAUUUUGUGAACUGUCUCCAAUUUUGAUAAAUUUAUGGUCACCAAUACCCUCUGCUUUUCAAGAAUCCACCAUUAGCAGGAUUACUGGGAGAUGCAGUGGCUGAGGCUGCUCCAACCUCUGUAUGACUGACUCCAGGAAAGGCUGAACCUGCUCCUCACGCCUUAUGCCUCUGAGAGACCCUGAGGGAAGUCUAUAAUCCCCUGCUGUUCUCAUCUGCUAGCUGAGCUAUGCCUGCCACCCUGUAAGCAAAGUAAGGUAAAGAUGACUUCUCAUAUCCCUGUGACUCUAGUCAGCUAGAAUUUAGCACCAAACACUAUCACCAGCUAAGAGUGUCUGAUGAAUGGUGCAAAGCAAGGGACCAUAGCUUCAUCAGAAGAGCAAUAAUGAGUGGCCUGGCAACCUCUCUCACCAUGGAGCUCUCAUCUUGAGGCUCUAUUCUAAUACUGCGGACAAUAUCUGCCUGUGCAAUGUCAGCCCUACCAUCAGAAGUGAAGGCACCAAACACAAGCUCGGAAUUGUCUGUGUCCUGUGAACUGG
This is a long non-coding RNA of Peromyscus californicus insignis, 16148 nucleotides long. RefSeq lists it as uncharacterized. The transcript is spliced from 5 exons. NCBI's taxonomy places the organism in Eukaryota, Metazoa, Chordata, Mammalia, Rodentia, Cricetidae. The record is from RefSeq and is a predicted model, not a curated record.